CCCCCUUCUCCCCGCGCUUGGCAAGAAAAGCGGGCAACGUGGAGCGGGAACAAAGGACCCCGCGGCCCACGGCGAUCCGGGACGCGGUGCCACCCCACUCCAGGCCCGAGGCACCGAGGCGGCCCGGAGCCGGCUCCACGCCCACACGCGCCGAGUCCUGGGAGGUCCCAGGGAAGAGAGUCCAGACCUCGUGAGACCCAGACACCGGGAGUCGGUUCCUGACAGCGGGAAAGGAGAUUCCCGCGUUCUCCUUCCGGCAGUCAUCCCUGCGCGUGUCGCCCUGACCCAGGCCCCCGAGAAUCCCAUGGGCAAAAACUCCCGCCCCACUUCCUCUGCCCGAGCUGAGGCAGCCCGCAGCCGCCUCGGCCGCCAACGCGACCCGGCAACCAUGGCAGCGCCGGGAGCGCGGGGCCCGCGCGGCGCCAGCUCCUCGCCCCCAGAAAGCGGCAGCAGCGGCUUGGAGCGUCCUCCCCCGGGACCAGGACGCUGCUCCGCGCCUCGCACCGUCUCCCCAGCCGCCCGCGCCAUCCCUCUGCUCGGACUCCGGUCGCGCCCUCUUCCUCCACCGUCUGGAACCUGCGCGUAUUACCUGGUUCAUCUCUGAAGAGGUGGAAAAACUCAUGUCUGGAGCUUCGAUGGGGAGCAGGAGGAAGCGGGCGGGAAUCGGCCCAACGGAAAGCGCCUCGAGGCCACGGAAGGGGGGAGCGGUCGAGCGGGAAGACCAGCGGUCAGCCGCAGAGGCUGCGAGGAGGGGCCGCGCCACCGAGGGUUCGCGGGGACUCGCUCGCUCGCUGGCACUGCCGCGCGGAAGCAGCAGGCGGAGAGACUGUGCAGCUCGGCUGUGAGCGACCGACCUCCACGCGCGUCCCGGAGACACUGCCGCCGCCGCCGCCCCGCUCGCGCCGCACCCCCUCGCACGUCACCACGUGCGCCGCCGCCGUCGCCGCCGCCGCCAAUGUCUCCCGGCAGCUUCCGGCCCGAAGCCGUCAGCGAAUCACAAGCGAGCACGAGAAAGCUCCCGCUCGCGGCCCCGCCCACCGCUCGCCCAACCUCUCCUUCGCCGGCUUGGGUCCCUUCCUGCUCGGCUCAACUAGGUCAAGGCAAGGUAUCCUUGAAGUGUUGGAAGAAUGA
This 1131-nucleotide long non-coding RNA is filed under the name Neogale vison (American mink). Its description in RNAcentral is "Neovison vison (American mink) lncRNA (ENSNVIG00000009841.1)". The record is from RNAcentral. Lineage: Eukaryota; Metazoa; Chordata; Mammalia; Carnivora; Mustelidae.